GCAGUAGUGGUUCAGUGGUAGAAUUCUCACCUUCCAACUGGGAGACCCAGGUUUGAUUCCCAACUAAUGCA
Molecule: transfer RNA, 71 nt
Filed under: Loxodonta africana (African savanna elephant)
Lineage: Eukaryota; Metazoa; Chordata; Mammalia; Proboscidea; Elephantidae
Rfam family: tRNA
About the family: Transfer RNA (tRNA) molecules are approximately 80 nucleotides in length.
Source: Rfam by way of RNAcentral